Molecule: ribosomal RNA, 387 nt
Filed under: uncultured bacterium
Lineage: Bacteria
Description: bacterial SSU rRNA
Rfam family: Bacterial small subunit ribosomal RNA
Source: RNAcentral
AACGAACGCUGGCGGCGUGCCUAACACAUGCAAGUCGCACGAGAAAGUUCUUCGGAACGAGUAAAGUGGCGCACGGGUGAGUAAUCCAUAGGAACGUGUCUUUAGGAGGGGAAUAACAACGGGAAACCGUUGCUAAUACCGCAUAAUCAGGUAACUGCAAAGACGGCCUCUAUUUAUAAGCUGUCACCUAAAGAGCGGCCUAUGUCCCAUUAGCUAGUUGGUGGGGUAAAANCCUACCAAGGCAACGGAUGGGUAGCUGGUCUGAGAGGACGGAUCAGCCACACUGGAACUGAGACACGGUCCAGACUCCUACGGGAGGCAGCAGUGGGGAAUAUUGCACAAUGGGCGCAAGCCUGAUGCAGCAACGCCGCGUGAGUGAAGAAGGCC